Molecule: ribosomal RNA, 253 nt
Filed under: uncultured bacterium
Lineage: Bacteria
Description: partial 16S ribosomal RNA
Rfam family: Bacterial small subunit ribosomal RNA
Source: RNAcentral
UACGUGGGGUGCAAGCGUUAUCCGGAUUUAUUGGGCGUAAAGAGUUCGUAGGCGUUUUGUUAAGUUUCAUUUGAAAGACCCCGGCUUAACCGGAGGAACGGAUGAAAUACUGGCAGAAUCGAGUUGGUCAGGGGGUACUGGAACUGAUAGUGUAGCAGUGAAAUGCGUUGAUAUUAUCAGGAACACCAAGGGCGAAGGCAGGUACCUGGGACCACACUGACGCUGAGGAACGAAAGCUAGGGGAGCGAAAGGG